AAGGAUUUAAGUUAAAUUAAACUAGUAACCUUCAAAGUUACCAAUGAAGAACCCCCCCCUUUAAGCCUUA
This 70-nucleotide transfer RNA is filed under the name Adrastus rachifer. RNAcentral describes it as "tRNA-Trp". The record is from RNAcentral. Lineage: Eukaryota; Metazoa; Arthropoda; Insecta; Coleoptera; Elateridae.